Molecule: long non-coding RNA, 312 nt
Filed under: Nicotiana benthamiana
Lineage: Eukaryota; Viridiplantae; Streptophyta; Magnoliopsida; Solanales; Solanaceae
Description: long non-coding RNA (NBEN_LNC023305)
Source: RNAcentral
UCAUCUCCAAGAAAUCUCCAAACAAAAAUCUCCCCUGAAUUAGAUUUUUUAACCUUCUUUUGAUGAAAAAACGAACAAAUGAAGGGAGUGGAUCAAAUCGAUCCAAUCCAAUGCUACCCAUUUUUUCUCAUUUCCAUCGAAGGGUUAGUAAUCCGAAAUAAAUCAAAGAGAAGGCAUGUGAGGGAGAGGAAAUUUGUCAGAAACGAUUAGAAUCUUGGUGACUUAGUGAAGAUGGGGCCUGUGUGAGUGAACUCGCCUGAGCUUUCAGGCCAGUUAGGGUCGUCUCAGCUUGAUGGAGAAGAUGAACAGUGC